UACGUAGGGUGCGAGCGUUAAUCGGAAUUACUGGGCGUAAAGCGUGCGCAGGCGGUUUUGUAAGCCAGAUGUGAAAUCCCCGAGCUUAACUUGGGAACUGCAUUUGGGACUGCAAGGCUAGAGUACGGCAGAGGGGGGUAGAAUUCCUGGUGUAGCAGUGAAAUGCGUAGAUAUCAGGAGGAAUACCGAUGGCGAAGGCAGCCCCCUGGGUCGAUACUGACGCUCAUGCACGAGAGCGUGGGGAGCAAACAGG
Molecule: ribosomal RNA, 253 nt
Filed under: uncultured bacterium
Lineage: Bacteria
Description: partial 16S ribosomal RNA
Rfam family: Bacterial small subunit ribosomal RNA
Source: RNAcentral